This 877-nucleotide ribosomal RNA is filed under the name Escherichia coli. Its description in RNAcentral is "partial 23S ribosomal RNA". It matches the Rfam family "Bacterial large subunit ribosomal RNA", at positions 1 to 911 of the family's 2925-position model. The record is from RNAcentral. Lineage: Bacteria; Pseudomonadati; Pseudomonadota; Gammaproteobacteria; Enterobacterales; Enterobacteriaceae.
GGGUUGUGAGGUUAAGCGACUAAGCGUACACGGUGGAUGCCCUGGCAGUCAGAGGCGAUGAAGGACGUGCUAAUCUGCGAUAAGCGUCGGUAAGGUGAUAUGAACCGUUAUAACCGGCGAUUUCCGAAUGGGGAAACCCAGUGUGAUUCGUCACACUAUCAUUAACUGAAUCCAUAGGUUAAUGAGGCGAACCGGGGGAACUGAAACAUCUAAGUACCCCGAGGAAAAGAAAUCAACCGAGAUUCCCCCAGUAGCGGCGAGCGAACGGGGAGCAGCCCAGAGCCUGAAUCAGUAUGUGUGUUAGUGGAAGCGUCUGGAAAGGCGCGCGAUACAGGGUGACAGCCCCGUACACAAAAAUGCACAUGCUGUGAGCUCGAUGAGUAGGGCGGGACACGUGGUAUCCUGUCUGAAUAUGGGGGGACCAUCCUCCAAGGCUAAAUACUCCUGACUGACCGAUAGUGAACCAGUACCGUGAGGGAAAGGCGAAAAGAACCCCGGCGAGGGGAGUGAAAAAGAACCUGAAACCGUGUACGUACAAGCAGUGGGAGCACGCUUAGGCGUGUGACUGCGUACCUUUUGUAUAAUGGGUCAGCGACUUAUAUUCUGUAGCAAGGUUAACCGAAUAGGGGAGCCGAAGGGAAACCGAGUCUUAACUGGGCGUUAAGUUGCAGGGUAUAGACCCGAAACCCGGUGAUCUAGCCAUGGGCAGGUUGAAGGUUGGGUAACACUAACUGGAGGACCGAACCGACUAAUGUUGAAAAAUUAGCGGAUGACUUGUGGCUGGGGGUGAAAGGCCAAUCAAACCGGGAGAUAGCUGGUUCUCCCCGAAAGCUAUUUAGGUAGCGCCUCGUGAAUUCAUCUCCGGGGGUAGAGCACU